AAAACUUCUCGGCCUGAAAGCUAAGAUCAAAGUGUAGUAUCUGUUCUUUUGACCUAAAAAUCUGGUAGAUCUCUGAUAGGGAGACAACAAGUGCUACUAAUGAUGAAACUAAU
This is a non-coding RNA of Anopheles arabiensis, 113 nucleotides long. Lineage: Eukaryota; Metazoa; Arthropoda; Insecta; Diptera; Culicidae. The record is from Rfam.